GUGUUUGCUUCGGCAGCACAUAUACUAAAAGUUGGAACAAUACAAUUACCAUGAACCCUGAGUAAAAAUGAUAUGCAAAUUCAUAAAACGUUCCAUACUUUU
This is a small nuclear RNA of Phocoena sinus (vaquita), 102 nucleotides long. NCBI's taxonomy places the organism in Eukaryota, Metazoa, Chordata, Mammalia, Artiodactyla, Phocoenidae. The record is from Ensembl.